GACGAACGCUGGCGGCGUGCUUAACACAUGCAAGUCGAACGGAAAGGCCCCCUUGUGGGGUACUCGAGUGGCGAACGGGUGAGUAACACGUGAGUAACCUACCCUUUACUUUGGGAUAACUUCAGGAAACUGGGGCUAAUACCGGAUAGGAGCUCCUGCUGCAUGGUGGGGGUUGGAAAGUUUCGGCGGUUGGGGAUGGACUCGCGGCUUAUCAGCUUGUUGGUGGGGUAGUGGCUCACCAAGGCUUUGACGGGUAGCCGGCCUGAGAGGGUGACCGGCCACAUUGGGACUGAGAUACGGCCCAGACUCCUACGGGAGGCAGCAGUGGGGAAUAUUGCACAAUGGGCGGAAGCCUGAUGAAGCAACGCCGCGUGCGGGAUGACGGCCUUCGGGUUGUAAACCGCUUUCGCCUGUGACGAAGCGUGAGUGACGGUAAUGGGUAAAGAAGCACCGGCUAACUACGUG
Molecule: ribosomal RNA, 465 nt
Filed under: uncultured bacterium
Lineage: Bacteria
Description: partial 16S ribosomal RNA
Rfam family: Bacterial small subunit ribosomal RNA
Source: RNAcentral